GACGUAGGAUGCAAGCGUUGUCCGGAUUUAUUGGGCGUAAAGAGUUCGUAGGUGGUUUGUUAAGUUUGGUGUUAAAGAUUGGGGCUCAACCCUGAAACUGCACUGAAUACUGGCAGACUCGAGUGUGGUAGAGGCUAGUGGAAUUCCCAGUGUAGCGGUGAAAUGCGUAGAUAUUGGGAAGAACACCGGUGGCGUAGGCGACUAGCUGGGCCAUAACUGACACUGAGGAACGAAAGCCAGGGGAGCGAAUGGGAUUAGAAACCCGAGUAGU
Molecule: ribosomal RNA, 271 nt
Filed under: uncultured bacterium
Lineage: Bacteria
Description: partial 16S ribosomal RNA
Rfam family: Bacterial small subunit ribosomal RNA
Source: RNAcentral